UGAAACCCCAGCAGCUUUCUAGCAGGAGCGACAGGAGGGGAACAGUGGAGAGAAUUCUCCCCCAGCUACUGGAGGCCCCGGAGACAGGAUAAGGAUCUGGGACUUGACGGGAUCAGCAGACCAGCUCCCAACAGAACAAAUGUUCUGCUUGAUUGCAUUGGAACGUGAGCGAGCCCCAAAUGGAAAAAGCUGCUUGCCUCCUUCCCGUUUGUUUAAUGGCUGGUGCGGUUUGGAUCUUCCCAGGUCUGGGAGGGAAAAAGAUUUGUUUUAGAAUUAAUAUUCUGAAACCCGAGGAGAAGAGUCGGAAAACCUGCAGUUCCCUCAAGGAGAGGACUGUCAAUUGGAUCAUCCACCCUGCCAAGACCACUUCUGGAGUUGCUGUUCUGAGCCACCUAGACGAACGCACAGGCCAGCCCCCGGAACCUGCUCUUCAUUUGCCUUCCAUGCCCAACUUGAACCAGUGAUUUGUUAUGCUUUUUCUUCUCGUUGUAAGUAAAUAUUCACUUG
RNAcentral lists this long non-coding RNA (507 nucleotides) under Equus caballus (horse). RNAcentral describes it as "lncRNA (ENSECAG00000034475.3)". The record is from RNAcentral. Lineage: Eukaryota; Metazoa; Chordata; Mammalia; Perissodactyla; Equidae.